RNAcentral lists this ribosomal RNA (253 nucleotides) under uncultured bacterium. Its description in RNAcentral is "partial 16S ribosomal RNA". It matches the Rfam family "Bacterial small subunit ribosomal RNA", at positions 524 to 776 of the family's 1533-position model. The record is from RNAcentral.
UACGUAGGGGGCAAGCGUUGUUCGGAAUUACUGGGCGUAAAGCGUGCGUAGGCGGUUUGUUAAGUCCGUUGUGAAAGCCCUGGGCUCAACCUGGGAAUUGCAGUGGAUACUGGCGAGCUAGAGUGCGGUAGAGGAUGGUGGAAUUCCCGGUGUAGCGGUGAAAUUCGUAGAUAUGGGGAGGAACACCGGUGGCGAAGGCGGCCAUCUGGACGGAUACUGACGCUGAGACGCGAAAGCGUGGGGAGCAAACAGG